CUACUGCAGUCGAGCGGCAGCGCGGGAGCAUCCUGGCGGCGAGCGGCGAACGGGUGAGUAAUGCUUCGGAAUCUGCCCUUCAGUGGGGAAUAACCAGCCAAAAGGUUGGCUAAUACCGCAACGACUGAGGUUGAAAGCAGGGGAUCGCAUGACCUUGCGCUGAUGGAUGAGCCGAAGUCGGAUUAGCUAGUUGGUGGGGUAACGGCCCACCAAGGCGACGAUCCGUAGCUGGUCUGAAAGGACGACCAGCCACACUGGGACUGAGACACGGCCCAGACUCCUACGGGAGGCAGCACUGGGGAAUAUUGGACAAUGGGGGCAACCCUGAUCCCGCGACGCCACGUGUGUGAAGAAGGCCUGCGGGUUGUAAAGCACUUUUAGUGGGGAGGAAGGUCUGCGACCUAACACGUCGCGGAUUUGACUUAACCCACAAAAAAAGCACCGGCUAACUCUGUGCCAGCAC
This 463-nucleotide ribosomal RNA is filed under the name uncultured bacterium. RNAcentral describes it as "bacterial SSU rRNA". It matches the Rfam family "Bacterial small subunit ribosomal RNA", at positions 52 to 514 of the family's 1533-position model. The record is from RNAcentral.